Molecule: long non-coding RNA, 6180 nt
Organism: Gallus gallus (chicken)
Lineage: Eukaryota; Metazoa; Chordata; Aves; Galliformes; Phasianidae
Exons: 2
Source: RefSeq, a predicted model, not a curated record
AGAGCUCUGAGGUUUCAAGCUGAAGAUGAGAAACUUGCACUUUUGUGGUUUGGGGUGUAAGAAUGUGAAAACCAGGGGAUUUUCACCCUGACCCCAAAUCCCGCAGCGUUCCAGCACGUCUGCUUAUCCCGGCAGUGUUUAUGUCGGAUCUGAGCCACCGAAUACCAGGCUACCUCCUUUUUCUAGCUUUUAUUUUUAUUUUCCUGGUUGGUUCUGCUGCCCGCUGGAUCUUGCAGAGUAACAGUUGAAGACAGAAAUGCCCGAGAGCGAAGAAAGCAGAGAAUUGAAUUGCUGGAGUGACAUUUCUUCCUCUCUCUUCUAUUGAAGAAGAAAUGAAUCCUCUGACAACAGACCAUAGAAGGGAAGUGAUGGAGGCAUAUCCCAAUGACCUGCUUGCCGUUCAACACCUUGCUCUGGCUCUUUGCCUUGCCUUACAGAGGCACUCAGUGCUGGAUUCCUCCUUUCCUGGAUUCCCAGGGCAUAAUUACUCCAUUCCUUUGAUGGCAAUAACCUGAACUUUGAAAUAUGGGAAAAUGAAUCAGACAGGAGAUGGAUGAAGUCAUUUUCUAGAAGCUGCUCAGACUGUAUUCCCAUCCAAAACAAGAGCUAUUGAUGGUCUUGGUGACCACAACCAUCAUCUCACACUAAUUACUCUCAAUUGCUCCUACAUCAUGGACAGAAAUGUCUGAGUGAGGAAAGGGCCACAUCCAAAGGGGCAGGGUCUGAGGAGUUAACUAUCACCCUAUUUACUCCCCUGUGACAUCCCAUUGCCCUGGGUGGUUGGGGUCACCUCCAUGGGUGGGAUUUUUCCAUAACUCAGGGAGCUGGGAUGUAGAUUUUUGGUAAUGGAUGUUUUAGUUUCAAUAUCCACCAAUGAAAUGAGAUUUUUUUCCUGUGCCUAAAGUCUUUGGAUUGAUUUUGCUGAGACACUUGGGCUCCAGUCCUUCCCGGAGUAAUCACUGAAUCAUUAAGGUUGGAAAAGACCUCUGAGAUCACCCAUCCAACCCCAGCCCACCCCACCAUGCCCACCGCCCUCAUCCCUCAGUGCCACAUCCCCAUGGUUCUAGAACAUCUCCAUGGACAGUGACCCCACCAUUCCCUGGGCAGUGUGUACCAAUGCACCACCACUCUUUGGAAGAAUAAAAUGUACCUAAUAUCCAGUCUGAACCUCCUCUGGAUUAUUUUUUCUUGCGAGACAGCAGGCAGUAAGACUGUAUAUGCUAGAUAUUUUUUAGUUUGUUUGUUUGUUUGUUUUACAAUAGAAUGUGAAUGAAGUCCCUCUCCAUGCUUCAACUCUCUGUUCCAGAGCUUUGCUGGGUGCACAUGGUGUUAAUUCAGCCUUGAGAUGAUGUGUAGAUGACACCUCAGUGGGGUAAGGUCCAAGAUGAGCAUCCCACAGUGCUGGAUGGAAUAAGGGCCUGAGGGAAGGGGAGGCCUUGCCAGUAAUAAAGAGCCCUGAUAGCAAAUGGGAAGGUUACCUGGCAACAUUCCUGUCCAAUUAAAGCAAAUUUAUUGUCAAGUUGCUUCCUUAUUGCUGCCCUGUUAUUAAUUGUUAAUGUGGUGCUGCACUCUGUAUAGGGUGCUGCAAAAGGCUGAGAUCAGGGGGUCUGAAAGGACAUUUUCUGUGCAAAGAAUCAUGAGUGCUCAUUGCUGGCUCUGCUCUGCAGGCUCUGGCAAGGAAAUUCCUGCUCUUGGAACAAGAGGGCAAACGGGUGGCAAAGAAAAAUAAAAUGCGUGGGGUCACUGGGUUCCUAAAUUAUAGUGCUGUGUGCAUGUGAAAUGCUUACAGAAAAAGAGACACCAGGAGAAUGGAAAUUUGCAGAACACCGUUUGGGAAUCUUGAGCUGUUUUCUCUAUAAAUAGAAUUCUCUGCUUCACACUGAAAUGAGACAGUGCCGUAUCCUUGGGUUCUCACUGGGCGCUUUGCUGUGCUCAGCCUGAUCUGAUCGGUCCCCCACCCUGACUGCAUGGAACCGGUGAGGCUGAGUUAUCAGGAGAUGGGCAGAUCUCAGCCAAGAAAGACAAACAUAAAUAAAAGAAGUUUGAAUUGGAGCAGAACUCAGCAUAGAAUCAUAGAACAUCUUGAGUUGGAAGGGGCUCUUAAGGAUCAUUGAGUCCAACUGCUGGCAUAUGGAGAUGAUUGACAUAAUUCAUGCAUUCAAACCCAACAGCGUUGAGCAAACACAGCUUUUGCUUUUUGUUAUCUUCUCCUUUCUGCGUGGAAGAGGAAAACCUCCAUUUCCAAACCCUCUUCAGCAAAACCCAAAUGUUUUUGCAUUCAGGAUGAAAGCAGCUUUCACCAAGCUAUGUGCUGCACAUGGGAGAGACCCCAGAGCUGCCCCACCAGUUCCUGGGCUUCAAUGCCUCCUUAGUUAGGUGGUGCUCUGGGCUGUGCUGCCCACUAAAGUUCCAUUUAUAGACAUUUUACAACGUGCUAAUAAAUUUACAAAGUGUUAAUAAACAGGGAUAAUUGUUUGUUAGUGUUUCUGAAAGAAUCCAACAGGGCAAAAACUCCCUAUAAAGGAUCUCUAAUGCUGCUCCUCGAUGAGCGUAUAAAACAUGUCCAACACAGACACGUCUGUGGUGCGGGCAGAACAUCUUUUAGCCAUUAACUCCUUGUAGCCCAGAUAAAAGCAGGACUUUCCAAGAAGUGUGGUUUUCUAAUUCUGUGCUACAUUCAUAUGGUAAGAAUUCAGUUUUAAAGAACUAUUUUUUUUUUUUUUAUGAAGAUGAAUGGUAUUCAGUGCCCAACAGAGACUCACUUGUGCCAGAGUCAUCAAAUGCCUUCCCAAAAACACAAGUGACAUCUUGGAUUACAGUGAUCCCUUUGCAACAGGACAGAUUUUUAGUUCAAUGCAUGCUACGUUCCCACGUUUGCCAUGCAUGGGUCUGCCUGAACCAGGAACCACGCACAUUUCUGAGCCCCGCUGUAGCAACAGAGAAUAUAAUUAAUUGCCUAAACAGGGCAACAUGCUUAACUAAAAGUUGGCAAGCUCACAUCUCCAGCCCUGCACUGAAUGCAUCAAUUCUGCUCUUACCAGAGGAGGACCCAGGAGAGCAGCCAUCCUCUUGCUGCAGACCACGCGCUGUGUUUCUGCCUUGGAGAGCACAGGGGGCAGAGCAGAGCCUUCUUCCCACCCCAUCCACACAGCACUAUCCUGAACACAGAGGAUGGGUUGCAGAGGGCAGAACCUGUUUUCAGCCUGAGAUAACCUACAAAUCUCCUGGGAUUCAAAAGGAAAACCCACGAACCUUUGUAUCUGCAAGACUUUUUGGGGUGAGAUCUUGGCCUCCUUGAAUACAAAGGGGAACUCCCUUUGAUUUACACAGUUCUUGGCUUGUUGCCUUCAGCCCCGAGCUUUGCUGGAUUGCAAAACUUGUAUCACCUUUCCAUAGUGGAGAAGAAAACCAUCCCAGACAGAGCAUUGCUGCAAACCAAAGGUUGUGCAAAGCCAUGGGUUUGGAAAGAGGCUGUCGGUAUCUUCUUUGCAUGAACAGAACUCUCAGCAUUUCCACAGGUGCUGCAGAUACAGCAGGGCCGUCCUGCUGCCUUCCUGCACAGCACCAAGUGUUUCUUCCCAGCUGGUGAUAUCAUGUCAGCUAAUGGGCUUUAAUUGUGCCACCCCACUUAGCAACAAUAAGCUGAAAGCUCAUUAUGUGCUGUCCUUGUGGCUUCUACGAGCAGCCCAAAGCCUCUCCAAUGGUCAGAGCUCUUCCCGAGAGCACAGCAGCAGCAACACAGAGUGGGGACGAGGAGUUCAGAUUGGAUAUUAGGAAAGGUUUCUUCUCAGAAGGAGCAGUGAUGCACUGGCACAGGCUGCCCAGGGAGGUGGUAGAGUCGCCACCACUGAAGGUGUUCAUGAAACAUGGAGAUGUGGCACUGAGGGACAUGGUCAAUGGGCGUGGAGUUGACUCGGUGAUCUUAGAGGUCUUUUCCAACGUUAAUGAUUCUAUUAUCCAAACUGUGUCAGUGACAGCCUACUGUCUGCCUGCAUUUGCUUACAUAACCUGCCAGUCACCCCAAAGCUAAUGCUUCAGACAGCAGUAAAUGAAUACAAAGCCACCCAUUUAAAUAUCCAAUAGGAGAAAGCAGAAUGGAUUGUUCUGUGCUUACGAGACUAAUUGGAUUUGGGAGAAAAAAUUUAAUGAUUUGGUGGUAAUGAGUUACUGGAUGGCUGAUUCCAGCAGAAAGUCCAACAGUGGCAUCAUGCCAAUGGGAGCACAGUCAGCAAGUGAGAUCUCUCUUGGAGUCUAACAGGGAACCAGUGAUAGGUCUUGAGCAUGGAAUAGAGCUCCAGGGCUUCUUCUGAUCUCAUUUCAUGCCUCUAUAACUCCUUGGCCCUGAUUUACACUGAUAUCACUGAGACUCCAAUUGGACCUUAAUUUUUUUAUAUACAGCAUUUCCUAAAGCUGUGGAGCACUCCUGUGGACCUGUUACAUCAGUGAAGAUGAUAUAUCCAGGUACUGAUCGUAUCUUUUGGCUGCCUUGAUGGCUUCCUUGUGUAAAUUGAAUUUUGAGGUUUUUUGAACAAAAGGCCCUAAGUUUGACACGUGAUGCUGGAGACGUGGGGGCCUUUGGGGUGAAAAGAGGAUGUCUAGCUGAGGACUUUACAUAACAUUUAACUUUCAGCCUUAGGACACAGGACAUGUUUUCCACCCUUUCUCUCUCUGGUAGUCCAUCGUGCGUUGGAAAUUGUUACUGUGUCAUCCUUCAAUCUUCUCAUUUUUAGACAUCUUAUCCCCUUUGUGUUCUCUCCUGCACUCCCUUCCAUCAGCCCAUAUCUCUGCUGAAGUGCAGCAGUAUUGCAAUGCCAUGUGUUCAGCUUGCACACAAUUAUCCCAUGCUCUUUGUAGAACCACUCAGAUGUUCUUCCUGGCAGCAAACUGUGACUCUCUCUGAACAAAAACAGUUUUCCAACCAAUUUUACCCCUUUCAGUAGUUAUCGUUAGGCCUUAUACCACAGCUGACUUGAGAAUGUACCAUUUGAGUCAAUAGAGAAGCCUUCCUAAGACCAAGACAAAUGAUUUUUGACCAUUCUUCCUCAUCUCUUUGCUCUCUCUUACUCUAUAGAAGAGGAAAUUAGAUCAAUUUGGUGUGAUCUAAACAAAUUUAUGACAGCUAUGACUCACUGUACAUCUCAGGACAUCCUUCCAUAUCAGAUUAAUGGUUACACAACAACAAAGCUUAAUGUCUUCACACUGUUUCCUUCCCAGAAAAUUGGCAAAUAUCACAGAAAAAUGGAUAUUCCUUCAUGAUCAGAGUGGCUUUGUUCAAACCAUUGCACCCCAGACAGCCUGAGCUGUGGUCUUGGUCUCCACAAUCAAAGCUGUCUUUCAAGCACAUUGUAGAAUGGAAGUUAGUAGUUGAUAAUUUACCAGUCAGACCAUCAGUGCUAAUUACUAUGCUUCCCUGUUGAAACAAAGAGAUUGAAAAAGAAAUGGACAAAAAGGCUUCUUUAGGAGAACGGCAGCUAAUUCACAGAUUUCUGUUAUUAGCAUUUUCCUUAUCUGGAAAUGUAAAUGUUCCAAAAAAGUGCAUUUUCAUCAAUGGAGUAUGAACAAGAAAUUUUGAAAUCCCCUAAUUCCUUAUGUGUCCUUAACUGAUAUAAAAUUAUACAGAUAUACACAGCUCAGGAUUUUUUCACAAGUUCUUGAAAUUCAUCUGACUCUGUAGGAAACCUUUUCUAUUUCAUUCAUAGUGAAGGUGUAUCGUGUUGUUAUUUUAUUUUAUUUUAUUUUAUUUUAUUUUAUUUUAUUGUUGUUGUUGUUUUAUUUCUGUCUAAUAGGACCUAUCAGUACAAAUGUUUGGGCAAAUAAAUAUUUACCAGAAAAUCCUGGUGGCCAUUUAAGAUCAGUAAGCUGGAGAUCUUAGCUUGAAUAAGCAGCCCUCAUAAAGGAAACUAUGUUGAGUUUUUGGCUUGUUGGCAAAGAAUUUCUGCCAAGACUUUGCAUAAAAUGAACAUUAAAGGCCAUGAAAGUUGGGUGUUUAUUCACCUUUUCCUUGGCAGUUCAAAGGAGCUGUAAUGGCAAAAGCUUGGUACUGGGAACGGAGGUGGUGAUCCUUGGUUUCCACUUCCAGCCAUUCAAUGUCAAAAUGCUGCCAGAAAACACUUUUUUGUUUUCAACAAAUGCAUAAGUUGUGGUCUAGAUUAAUGAAAAAUAAAGUCUUUGUUCACUCCU